Molecule: ribosomal RNA, 393 nt
Filed under: uncultured bacterium
Lineage: Bacteria
Description: partial 16S ribosomal RNA
Rfam family: Bacterial small subunit ribosomal RNA
Source: RNAcentral
AUACGGAGGAUCCGAGCGUUAUCCGGAUUUAUUGGGUUUAAAGGGUGCGUAGGCGGGAGAUUAAGUCGGUGGUGAAAUUUUGCAGCUCAACUGUAAAAGUGCCAUUGAUACUGGUUUCCUUGAGUGUGGAUGAAGUAGGCGGGAUUUGUGGUGUAGCGGUGAAAUGCAUAGAUAUCACGAGGAACUCCGAUUGCGCAGGCAGCUUACUAAAACAUAACUGACGCUCAGGCACGAAGGCGUGGGGAACAAACAGGAUUAGAUACCCUGGUAGUCCACGCAGUAAACGAUGAUUUCUCGGUGUUUGCGAUACACAGCAAGCGGCUUAGCGAAAGCGUUAAGUAAUCCACCUGGGGAGUACGUUCGCAAGAAUGAAACUCAAAGGAAUUGACGGGG